AUUGAACGCUGGCGGCAGGCCUAACACAUGCAAGUCGGGCGGCAGCGGGGGAAAGCGUGCUUUCCUGCCGGCGAGCGGCGGACGGGUGAGUAAUGUCUGGGGAUCUGCCCGAUGGAGGGGGAUAACCACUGGAAACGGUGGCUAAUACCGCAUGAACUCUGAGGAGCAAGGUGGGGGACCUUCGGGCCUCACGCCAUCGGAUGAACCCAGAUGGGAUUAGCUAGUAGGUGGGGUAACGGCUCACCUAGGCGACGAUCCCUAGCUGGUCUGAGAGGAUGACCAGCCACACUGGGACUGAGACACGGCCCAGACUCCUACGGGAGGCAGCAGUGGGGAAUAUUGCACAAUGGGCGCAAGCCUGAUGCAGCCAUGCCGCGUGUAUGAAGAAGGCCUUCGGGUUGUAAAGUACUUUCAGCGGGGAGGAAGGCGUGAAACCGAAUACGU
This 444-nucleotide ribosomal RNA is filed under the name Xenorhabdus sp. Its description in RNAcentral is "bacterial SSU rRNA". It matches the Rfam family "Bacterial small subunit ribosomal RNA", at positions 29 to 468 of the family's 1533-position model. Lineage: Bacteria; Pseudomonadati; Pseudomonadota; Gammaproteobacteria; Enterobacterales; Morganellaceae. The record is from RNAcentral.